RNAcentral lists this ribosomal RNA (51 nucleotides) under Pediococcus acidilactici. Its description in RNAcentral is "partial 23S ribosomal RNA". The record is from RNAcentral. Lineage: Bacteria; Bacillati; Bacillota; Bacilli; Lactobacillales; Lactobacillaceae.
GUAGCGAUACAUGGAGCGGACUAGUACUAAUCGGUCGAGGACUUAACCAAG